GACGAACGCUGGCGGCGUGCUUAACACAUGCAAGUGGAGCGACGAACCAGGGCUUGCCCUGGGGCAGAGCCGCGAACGGGUGAGUAACACGUGGGUAACGUACCCCGAUGACUGGGACGAACCCGGGAAACCCGGGGCGUAAUACCGGACUGUCCACCCUCACAUCAGUGAGGUGUGUAAAGGAAGCUUCGGCCUCCGCGUU
This 202-nucleotide ribosomal RNA is filed under the name uncultured bacterium. RNAcentral describes it as "partial 16S ribosomal RNA". It matches the Rfam family "Bacterial small subunit ribosomal RNA", at positions 28 to 221 of the family's 1533-position model. The record is from RNAcentral.